GAUGAACGCUGGCGGCGUGCCUAAUACAUGCAAGUCGAGCGAACAGAUGAGGAGCUUGCUCCUCUGACGUUAGCGGCGGACGGGUGAGUAACACGUGGAUAACCUACCUAUAAGACUGGGAUAACUUCGGGAAACCGGAGCUAAUACCGGAUAAUAUAUUGAACCGCAUGGUUCAAUAGUGAAAGACGGUUUUGCUGUCACUUAUAGAUGGAUCCGCGCCGCAUUAGCUAGUUGGUAAGGUAACGGCUUACCAAGGCAACGAUGCGUAGCCGACCUGAGAGGGCGAUCGGCCACAUUGGAACUGAGACACGGUCCAGACUCCUACGGGAGGCAGCAGUAGGGAAUCUUCCGCAAUGGGCGAAAGCCUGACGGAGCAACGCCGCGUGAGUGAUGAAGGUCUUCGGAUCGUAAAACUCUGUUAUUAGGGAAGAACAAAUGUGUAAGUAACUAUGCACGUCUUGACGGUACCUAAUCAGAAAGCCACGGCUAACUACGUG
RNAcentral lists this ribosomal RNA (497 nucleotides) under uncultured bacterium. Its description in RNAcentral is "partial 16S ribosomal RNA". It matches the Rfam family "Bacterial small subunit ribosomal RNA", at positions 28 to 507 of the family's 1533-position model. The record is from RNAcentral.